This is a small nuclear RNA of Myotis daubentonii (Daubenton's bat), 187 nucleotides long. RefSeq annotates it as U2 spliceosomal RNA. The record is from RefSeq and is a predicted model, not a curated record. Lineage: Eukaryota; Metazoa; Chordata; Mammalia; Chiroptera; Vespertilionidae.
AUUGCUUCUCGGCCUUUUGGCUAAGAUCAAGUGUAGUAUCUGUUCUUAUCAGUUUAAAAUGGCUGGUACAAGUAGCUUUGAUAGCAUCUUACCAGGAACACUGACUCCUGGAUUGGGAUUACCAAGUACUAGGUCUCCUGAGCCAUCGUAAGAGCAGGUGUUGUUUAUCUAGCGCAGGAGUCCUCAA